UAGUGUGAGUUUCCCCCACUAUCUAGAGGGAGGCGUACUCACUUUUCUCUGAGUUCAAGGGUUCUUUAGAAUUCACAUAAAUAUUUAAAGCCUGACAUAUCCAAUCCUCAAAUGAGCCAAACACUGGCCAGUACAAAUGGUCUCCUCUUAUUUGUUUCCCUCCCCAAACCUCUAUGCAGUAGUGCACCAUUUUCACCUUGUCCUUUCCUUUCCUGGAGGGGAAGGCAUCCCAAUUUUUAAUCAUUAGUCCUAAUGGGCUAUCUGGAGGAAUUUGGGGAAGCUUUACAGGGGUUCCCCCACCCAUGGGACCAGAGGGCUUGCUUUUCCUCUGUCCCAUCUUCCGGAGUGCCUUCUUACACACACCUCUACGCUUCCCUCAAUUCGUGGCCCAGCCCGUCGCCGGGUGUGGGAAACGCACUACUAUGAGGUCCACACUCACGUCGUCUCACAGAGACGUCUCACUCAUCACACUCCAGGAUCCCAACCCCAACCGAGCGGCCCCCGUUCCCUUUAAACGGGGCAACCUCAGUAGCCCCGAAGGACCACUGAAAGAUUGAAGGACAAGAUGACCUAGUCCUGCUUCUUGGAACUCAGAGGAGGACGGGGGCCAAGCAUGCUGUUGCAGAUUUGAAAGCAGUUUCCUUGCUUUAUGAGCUGGAAUCUUGAGAAUUUUUAAAAGCCAUUUCUAUUUCUGACUGUGCUGUGACUUUAGGUCCUGUAAGAACAGUGUGCCUACUGAAGUCAUGCCAUUACAAGGGUUUGGUCAGAAAAGACAGAGAGAAGGAGUUAGCUGGGGCAUUUAUCAACAUCUGGUAUCUUAACCAGCAUCAAAAACUGACUGCGGAGAAGAUGAAAGCUCUCAGUAGUGAAGGACUGAUCUGGGGUAACCUCUGAAUGAAGACUCCAAAAUGGAGGAGAUCAACAAGGCAAUUCCUCAUUUUGCUGAAGUCCAGAUACACUUGCUGAUAGAAGGAAAAGAACAGCAGUAUACUAGAAUUCUGUGCCUGCACACAUAUGUCUGGCUGUGUACAAGUACCCAUCAGCUUAAUCUCCUAACGCCACCUGUCCAACUCGCAAAAGGACUCUGGUAUUGUACAAAAUCUGUUACAGAGGGCUUGGGAGUGGCAGUGAUUUCAGGGUAUGUGCAGGUGAAUAUUGGGAUGCCACUGAUGCCAUGAUGAUUUUUUGCCUUUUCUUUUAUAUACCUUUCAUGUAUCCUCAGUGCUCUUUAUAUGCAUACUUGUAAUUCCUUAAAUCUGAUAACUUAACAUAGUCCUGGUUUUCUGUUAGGCCAGAAAACCAAACAUCCUAGAGGCCUUGCAAUUGGAGAUAAAAACCCUUUAUCCCUUAACCACAUCUGGCUCUCAAUUUUAAGACCAAAAAAAGGCACCACCACAGCUCAGGAAAGAAGACAGAUGUUAAAUUUAUUCUUGGACUUUAUGUCUGAAGAAAUUAAACGGCUUUUGCAACUGCUGGUUGCCAGUAAAUUAUGGAUAUAGCAGUGUAGCAUUUCCAUUGCACAUCCUAGUGAUGUCCAGCAUUCAAAAGAAGUACUUCUAAUAAAAGUUUAAACUGAUAAUGAGAA
Vidua chalybeata is the source of this 1585-nucleotide long non-coding RNA. RefSeq lists it as uncharacterized. Lineage: Eukaryota; Metazoa; Chordata; Aves; Passeriformes; Viduidae. The record is from RefSeq and is a predicted model, not a curated record. The transcript has 4 exons.